This 465-nucleotide ribosomal RNA is filed under the name uncultured Klebsiella sp. Its description in RNAcentral is "bacterial SSU rRNA". It matches the Rfam family "Bacterial small subunit ribosomal RNA", at positions 338 to 795 of the family's 1533-position model. The record is from RNAcentral. Lineage: Bacteria; Pseudomonadati; Pseudomonadota; Gammaproteobacteria; Enterobacterales; Enterobacteriaceae.
CCUACGGGCGGCUGCAGUGGGGAAUAUUGCACAAUGGGCGCAAGCCUGAUGCAGCCAUGCCGCGUGUGUGAAGAAGGCCUUCGGGUUGUAAAGCACUUUCAGCGGGGAGGAAGGCGGUGAGGUUAAUAACCUCAUCGAUUGACGUUACCCGCAGAAGAAGCACCGGCUAACUCCGUGCCAGCAGCCGCGGUAAUACGGAGGGUGCAAGCGUUAAUCGGAAUUACUGGGCGUAAAGCGCACGCAGGCGGUCUGCCAAGUCGGAUGUGAAAUCCCCGGGCUCAACCUGGGAACUGCAUUCGAAACUGGCAGGCUAGAGUCUUGUAGAGGGGGGUAGAAUUCCAGGUGUAGCGGUGAAAUGCGUAGAGAUCUGGAGGAAUACCGGUGGCGAAGGCGGCCCCCUGGACAAAGACUGACGCUCAGGUGCGAAAGCGUGGGGAGCAAACAGGAUUAGAUACCCGGGUAGUC